Molecule: small RNA, 1747 nt
Filed under: Pyricularia oryzae
Lineage: Eukaryota; Fungi; Ascomycota; Sordariomycetes; Magnaporthales; Pyriculariaceae
Description: Magnaporthe oryzae sRNA M_BR32_EuGene_00104331
Source: RNAcentral
UAUUACGUUAAAAAUUGGACCCGAAAAACCCGCUAUUAAUUUAUUUGCCGUCGGCCGUUCGUAUUAAUGGAAAAUUAAUAAAGGAAAACCAAUCCCGUUCCCGGAAAAUAAAAACCCCGAUUAUAUUAAAUUGGUCCAACGCAAAUUACCAUCCCAAUUCGUUUACCUGGAGGGAUUUUUUUCGAAAAUAAUUUUAACCAACCUGCUUUUAUAUCGCCCAGGAUAUAAUAUAAUUUUAAAAUUAAACAAACCAAAAACAGGAUCGCCUCCGACGUACAAAAUAUUUGUGGAAUUUCUGCCGUUCGAAAAGGAAAUAAUUGACGAAUUGCUGCGUAUUGGGUUUAUUAAACCCUGUAUGCAGGCCGACCCAACGUUUAUUUUGUUCGUAUUUAAAUUAUAUUCCAAAAAACGCCGUUUUUACACCAAUUACCAAUGGAUUAACCAAUUUUUAAAAAAUCGAUUCGUACCAGCCCCGGAUACCAACGGAAUUAUUUUUAAUUAUCGCAACGCAAAAAGGUUUACGAAAAUCGACAUUAUUUAAACGUUUAACCGGUUAUAUAUAAUUGUUAAUUUAAAAUAUUUCACUGUUUUUCGCACCCGAUAAAGUAUUUUUUAAUGGAAAAUGCUUUUUUUUAAAUUAAAAAUCGGCCCAAUUUGGUGGUAAUUAUUUAUUAACGUUUAAUUAAAUAAAUUUUUGGAUUUAUUUGCCAAUAUAUACGCCGACGAUAUUUUAAUUUAUUCCGACGGAAACGAAAAAAAAUAUUGGAAUUAAAUAAAAAAAAGGUUAUUUACCGAUUAAACCGGGUCGAUUUCCAGGGAAAUAUAAAAAAAUUUCAAUUUAAUAUUACCACGGUCGAUUAUUUUGGUAUUAUUAUAAACGCAAAUUUGGGUAUCCGUAUCGAUCCAAACAAAUUGCAAACAAUUAACGAUUAGAAAUUCGAAAAUUUUACGUCCAAAACAACCGUGUAUUCCUUUUUGGAAUUGUGCAAUUAUAUUUAAAUAUUUUAUUAUUAUACCAGCAACGUUACUAAAUCGUUAAACCGAUUGUUAAAAAAAAACGCCAAAUUUGCUAUGGGGCCAAAAUAAAGGCAAAUAUUUGAAAAAAUAAAACGUUUAACCUGCAAUGUACCGGUUAUAAUAUUUUUUACCCCAGGCCGACCGAUUAAAAUAAAAACCGACGUUUUACGCAACGCGACCGGCGGAGCAAUUUGGUAAUAGCAACCGGGUGGAAAAUGGAAAUUUGUGGGAUAUUUUUUAAAAAUAAUAACCCCAGCAAAACGCGCAUAUCCGAUCCAAAACCGAAAAUUGCUAAUAAUAAUUUAAACGUUAAAAUAUUACAAAUUAAAAUUAUUGGGGAUAAAUUUUUUCGUGGUUAUAAACCACCAAAUUUUAAUUUAUUAUUUUACAAAACGAUUUUUUUCGAUUUAAUAAAUGCGUUGGGCAAAUUUCCUGGCCAAUUUUAAUAUUACGUUUUAAUACCGCCGCGGUAAAAAUAAUAUAACCGCCAAUACCCUGUCCCGCAAAACGGCAAACCUUUUAACAAUUAAAAUUCGGGAAAAAAAAAACAAAUAAUAAUUUUAAUCCCAUUUAAAAAAAUUAUAUUUACGGUGGCCGCCGUUAAUAUUACCGACCCAAACGCCCACGUGGUAAACGGCGCAAAUUUGGUAAACCUAAUACGAUAAAAAAACGAAAAACAAAAAUUAAAUUAAUAUUAAGGAAAAUUAAUAAUUCCGGAAACGAUUAUAAA